This 97-nucleotide ribosomal RNA is filed under the name Transversotrema manteri. Its description in RNAcentral is "partial 5.8S ribosomal RNA". It matches the Rfam family "5.8S ribosomal RNA", at positions 58 to 154 of the family's 154-position model. Rfam says of the family: 5.8S ribosomal RNA (5.8S rRNA) is a component of the large subunit of the eukaryotic ribosome. It is transcribed by RNA polymerase I as part of the 45S precursor that also contains 18S and 28S rRNA. The record is from RNAcentral. Lineage: Eukaryota; Metazoa; Platyhelminthes; Trematoda; Azygiida; Transversotrematidae.
UGAAUUAAUGUGAACUGCWACCUGCCAUGAACAUCGACAACUUGAUUGCACAUUGCGGCCAUGGGUUAGCCUGUGGCCACGCCUGUCCGAGAGUUGG